RNAcentral lists this non-coding RNA (717 nucleotides) under Zea mays. Lineage: Eukaryota; Viridiplantae; Streptophyta; Magnoliopsida; Poales; Poaceae. The record is from RNAcentral.
AAGCUGCUACUACCUGCUAGGGGUUUUAUUAGUUGCUCAACCUUCGCUGGCCGGCCUUAUAUAUACCUAGCUAUAGCUGUCUUGCUUGCAUAGAUCAUCGAUCCAUGUUGCUAGCUAGCUAGCUCCCUCAGUUCAGUUCAGUUCAGUUCAGCUCAGCUAGCUAGCUCACUCCUCUCUUGAGUCGUGGUGUCCAUCACAAUCUUCUCUAUAUCGAUACAGGUGAGGAGGUAGCUAGACAGAUCAACACCAAUCCUCUCAACGACAUCCCCUUGUUCUUGUAGAGAGAGUUGGUGUAGGUCGAAAGGCAGAUAGAUCAUAUAUAGAGGGAGAGAUGCAUAUAUGGUGUAGGGUUCUUCAAUUUGUUUCUAUGAUCGAUUCAUUCGCCCUGCAGCCCCCCCUGCGCAUCUAGUUAUGUCUCCAUCCCUCCUCCCUUGUUCCUGAUACAUAUAUAUAUAUGUAGGUAGUGGCUCUGUAUAUACCCAUGCCAUCUCUCUCAAUCUCAUCUAUAUCAUAUAUACCCAUGCUUUGCAUCUAGCUGUUUCAUUUCUUUUCACUCGUGCUUUGAAAGAUCUGGUACAGUCCGGCCUGUAUUAGUAAGAACGAGUUAGAAAAAUACACACGUACGCGCGAGAACCAUGCAUCAUCAGCUAGCUCCUCUCUUUCCUCUUUUUUUUUGUUAAUGCAUACAUUCAUAUAUAUAUUCCCAUGAAUGAAUGC